AGAAAUAUGUCUGAUAAAAGAGUUACUUUGAAAGAGUAAACAAUAGGUUUAAAUCCUCUUAUUUCUA
RNAcentral lists this transfer RNA (67 nucleotides) under Camelus bactrianus (Bactrian camel). It matches the Rfam family "tRNA". From Rfam's summary of the family: Transfer RNA (tRNA) molecules are approximately 80 nucleotides in length. Their secondary structure includes four short double-helical elements and three loops (D, anti-codon, and T loops). The record is from Rfam by way of RNAcentral. Lineage: Eukaryota; Metazoa; Chordata; Mammalia; Artiodactyla; Camelidae. RNAcentral also lists the same sequence under 2 other names.